Molecule: ribosomal RNA, 472 nt
Filed under: uncultured bacterium
Lineage: Bacteria
Description: bacterial SSU rRNA
Rfam family: Bacterial small subunit ribosomal RNA
Source: RNAcentral
UAGGGAAUAUUGGACAAUGGGCGAAAGCCUGAUCCAGCCAUGCCGCGUGUGUGAAGAAGGUCUUCGGAUUGUAAAGCACUUUAAGUUGGGAGGAAGGGCAGUAAGUUAAUACCUUGCUGUUUUGACGUUACCGACAGAAUAAGCACCGGCUAACUCUGUGCCAGCAGCCGCGGUAAUACAGAGGGUGCAAGCGUUAAUCGGAAUUACUGGGCGUAAAGCGCGCGUAGGUGGUUUGUUAAGUUGGAUGUGAAAGCCCCGGGCUCAACCUGGGAACUGCAUCCAAAACUGGCAAGCUAGAGUACGGUAGAGGGUGGUGGAAUUUCCUGUGUAGCGGUGAAAUGCGUAGAUAUAGGAAGGGACACCAGUGGCGAAGGCGACCACCUGGACUGAUACUGACACUGAGGUGCGAAAGCGUGGGGAGCAAACAGGAUUAGAUACCCCAGUAGUCCCUGAGCGGGCUGGCAAGGCGCAU